GAUGAACGCUGGCGGCGUGCCUAAUACAUGCAAGUCGAGCGAACAGACGAGGAGCUUGCUCCUCUGACGUUAGCGGCGGACGGGUGAGUAACACGUGGAUAACCUACCUAUAAGACUGGGAUAACUUCGGGAAACCGGAGCUAAUACCGGAUAAUAUAUUGAACCUCAUUGUUCAAUAGUGAAAGACGGUUUUGCUUUCACUUAUAGAUGGAUCCGCGCCGCAUUAGCUAGUUGGUAAGGUAACGGCUUACCAAGGCAACGAUGCGUAGCCGACCUGAGAGGGUGAUCGGACACACUGGAACUGAGACACGGUACAGACUCCUACGGGAGGCAGCAGUAGGGAAUCUUCCGCAAUGGGCGAAAGCCUGACGGAGCAACGCCGCGUGAGUGAUGAAGGUCUUCGGAUCGUAAAACUCUGUUAUUAGGGAAGAACAAAUGUGUAAGUAACUAUGCACGUCUUGACGGUACCUAAUCAGAAAGCCACGGCUAACUACGUG
Molecule: ribosomal RNA, 497 nt
Filed under: uncultured bacterium
Lineage: Bacteria
Description: partial 16S ribosomal RNA
Rfam family: Bacterial small subunit ribosomal RNA
Source: RNAcentral